AACGAACGCUGGCGGCAUGCCUAACACAUGCAAGUCGAACGAACCUUCGGGGUUAGUGGCGCACGGGUGCGUAACGCGUGGGAAUCUGCCCUUUGCUUCGGAAUAACAGUUAGAAAUGACUGCUAAUACCGGAUGAUGUCUUCGGACCAAAGAUUUAUCGGCAAGGGAUGAGCCCGCGUAGGAUUAGGUAGUUGGUGGGGUAAAGGCCUACCAAGCCGACGAUCCUUAGCUGGUCUGAGAGGAUGAUCAGCCACACUGGGACUGAGACACGGCCCAGACUCCUACGGGAGGCAGCAGUGGGGAAUAUUGGACAAUGGGCGCAAGCCUGAUCCAGCAAUGCCGCGUGAGUGAUGAAGGCCUUCGGGUCGUAAAGCUCUUUUACCAGGGAUGAUAAUGACAGUACCUGGAGAAUAAGCUCCGGCUAACUCCGUGCCAGCAGCCGCGGUAAUACGGAGGGAGCUAGCGUUGUUCGGAAUUACUGGGCGUAAAGCGCACGUAGGCGGCGACACAAGUCAGAGGUGAAAGCCCGGGGCUCAACCCCGGAACUGCCUUUGAAACUAGGUUGCUAGAAUCUUGGAGAGGUCAGUGGAAUUCCGAGUGUAGAGGUGAAAUUCGUAGAUAUUCGGAAGAACACCAGUGGCGAAGGCGACUGACUGGA
Molecule: ribosomal RNA, 658 nt
Filed under: uncultured Alphaproteobacteria bacterium
Lineage: Bacteria; Pseudomonadati; Pseudomonadota; Alphaproteobacteria
Description: bacterial SSU rRNA
Rfam family: Bacterial small subunit ribosomal RNA
Source: RNAcentral